Long non-coding RNA from Anas platyrhynchos (mallard), 1962 nucleotides. RefSeq lists it as uncharacterized. Lineage: Eukaryota; Metazoa; Chordata; Aves; Anseriformes; Anatidae. The record is from RefSeq and is a predicted model, not a curated record.
ACCCAAAUCUUCUUCUCAACACACGUUGCCCUCAGAUGGGUGCUAUCAGCUUCUGCUAUGGAGAGGCACCUGUGUCCUAGCAGACCUCCUGACCAACACAGCCCACCCCACGUAAGGGACGACGGGCAGGAAGCACCUUGUGAGGUUCUCUGCUGACAAAGAAGUCAGGAUAGGAUGGUGCUAGAAGCUCACAGAUAGCUUGAUCUCAGUACAAGAAUGGAACAGAAAUUCUGGAUACUUCUAAGGGGGCUUGGUGUCCAGGAUGAGCUGGCAUCUGCCUGCUGCUAGCACAGCAGGAGAGAGGGCAGAAGCAAUGCACCACUGCGGCACGCAGAAAUGUAGCUCUGCAAGAUCAGCAGCAUGGAGAAGGCCCUUACAAUUCCAUUUCAAGUGCAAAUUCCUGCACAAAUAGGAGUAUAGCUCAAGAGAUUUUUGUCCCUGCUGACUGCUGAGGCUGUAGUCUACCUGGAUGUGUUCGAGCCCUGGCUCUAAAAAUGCCCCCCCUGCUCUUGCAGUACGUGUUCAAAGCUCUUGGCAGUUACCUAGAGCAGCAUGUUUCUUAAAUCAGGUAAUUUUCUAUGAAUCAAGGGGAAAUGGACACUUAAGUGUUCAGAGACCACAGUUACCAUUAUAUGGGAAGAUCCAAUGCCCCGUGGAUCAAUUAUGAUCUGAGCAUUUAAUGGUUAUGGGGUUUUGACUUUCCUUUACUAGCUCCUACCACAAGAAUCAUAAAUGGGGAAGCCUGCUUGCAGCAGGUUUUCAAUCUGGCUGAAAGAAAAUGGCUCAAAGAGAAACAAAACUUUGACCUCAGAUCAGAGUAGGUUUAAAAACCUUAGUAUUAGCUUUUAAUACAUAUGCUAGGAAAGUAUUUUGUUUAAAAUUAUGGUUUGAAGUAGAUAAAAGCUGUUAUUAAAACCUGACCUGUGGCCAUGCUGCUGAAAGACGAUAUUCAAAAAUUAAUAUCUGAUAAUUGUAUUUUAACUUUACUUUGUGGUAGAAAGGGUCAACAGCUGGCUCUUAAAUGCUUGGAAUUUAAAAAAAAAAAAAAAAAGCAACAGAUUUUAAGAAGACAAACCUGACAACAAGAUUUGUGCAAUAUGCACAGAGCAGAAGGGUUUCAAGUGCUUGUUCUAAGCAGCCUCCUCAGUGCAGAUGGAUCUUUGUUUUCCUUUCCCUUUCUUGACAUAGUUAAGCCUUUGCUACGUCAUCCUACUUAAAAGAGAAGAUACCCAACUGCUGUUCUUGCAGCCGCUUUCUUUACAAGCAGUUUGUGUGAUUUACUGGCCACACUGUGUGAAGUCAUUUGCUUUUGUCCUCUGCCUGGUCCCCAGGUGGUUCAGUGACACUGUGCAUUACAAAUUAGGAGGUGGUUUGAUGCUCAUCUGACUCCCAGCCUUUGAGGUUUGCCACUUCCCAAAUAACAUAUUUCAGCAGUUGUGAAAGCUUUUAUCUGGUGCUUUAGAAUAUUCCCAGCAUAUAUUUUCUCUUUAAGAUAACUUUGUCCCCAGUACCAGCACAAUAAAAACCAUGCACUUUUCAACGUGUGUGGUAAACUCCUUGAAGGAGUGUCUAAGAAGUGCUGAAGUCUAAUAAAAGUAAGAAGCUUUUUCCAUGAGGUAUAAACAGCCUGUGAAUCUCUCAUCUCUAGGCCAUCUUUAAUACAGUAUUACUAACAGUAAAUACUCAAACCAACAUCCACUACUCGAGUGGAUUUUAAGCUACUUUAUAAAGACAGAUAUAAAGAGUAAGGAGGAGGUGAUAAUACAUACUUGAGUAUGUAAUUGUGUGUGAAUUAAAAGACAAGUUCCCCUUCCUCCCAUCUCCAAACUGUUAUUCAUCCAAGUGUCUCAUACUGUGAGCUCCUUGGAAAAGAAAAUGUCUCUGUUUUUCUUUCACCUUGCGCUGAACAGUACAUAAAUAGUUAGUGCAGUUUCUAACAGAUGUGCCAUUGGCUUUGACAAA